CCUACGGGAGGCAGCAGUGGGGGAUAUUGCACAAUGGGGGGAACCCUGAUGCAGCGACGCCGCGUGGGUGAAGGAGUGCUUCGGCAUGUAAAGCCCUAUCGGCAGGGAAGAAGCAAGACGGUACCUGACUAAGAAGCCCCGGCUAACUACGUGCCAGCAGCCGCGGUAAUACGUAGGGGGCGAGCGUUAUCCGGAUUCACUGGGUGUAAAGGGAGCGUAGACGGCCAUGCAAGCCAGGGGGGAAAGCCCGGGGCCCAACCCCGGGACUGCCCUUGGAACUGUGCGGCUAGAGUGCGGGAGGGGCAGGCGGAAUUCCUGGUGUAGCGGUGAAAUGCGUAGAUAUCAGGAGGAACACCGGCGGCGAAGGCGGCCUGCUGGACUGCGACUGACGUUGAGGCUCGAAAGCGUGGGGAGCGAACAGGAUUAGAUACCAUGGUAGUC
Molecule: ribosomal RNA, 441 nt
Filed under: uncultured bacterium
Lineage: Bacteria
Description: partial 16S ribosomal RNA
Rfam family: Bacterial small subunit ribosomal RNA
Source: RNAcentral